Long non-coding RNA from Ostrea edulis (European flat oyster), 3012 nucleotides. RefSeq lists it as uncharacterized. The transcript is spliced from 2 exons. NCBI's taxonomy places the organism in Eukaryota, Metazoa, Mollusca, Bivalvia, Ostreida, Ostreidae. The record is from RefSeq and is a predicted model, not a curated record.
UAUACCUGGCGAAUUGCCAAUACGAAGCUAAAGUGACCAGGUUUAAAAUGUAAAUAUGUUAAAAGAGUAUUUUAUAGAAUUUAAAUAGUUUCAUUGUUAUUGAUAUCUGUAUUAAUAUAGGGAGGUGACCAUUCUACAUUGAUCCAGUGCCUUUUUAUGGGAUUCGAAACUGUGACUGUGAGAUGUAUGAGAGUUUGACUUCUAGGUGGGCAAUUCUACUUUCACUUUAAACGGUAAGUUGAAAAGAGCAUGCUGCAUCUUUGAUGUAAAAUAUCUCGAAAAGGAAUCAAGGACCCUAUUGCAAAUUUGGCCUUGUUGGAAAGGAUGGCAGGUACCUGAGUGUAUCUCGACCCAUUUCCAGGCUAGCAUCAGAUGUCAUGAUGGACCUUUAAAAUCUUUCACAUGUGUACUUUCAAGAACCAUAUACAUUAUUUUUGAAAAUUGGUUGCCAUGGUAAUAAAAUCUGAAAAUUAAAACAUGGGCUUCUGAAGGCGAAUUUUCCUCCAUUUCCUGGUAGUUUGUGACCUUAGCACUUUUACCAAUAGUAAACCAAUUGCAACAUUGGUAACACUGGCAAUAAAUUUUUUUAAAUGUCUGAGAACAAGCAGCUUAGUAUAGUUGCAUUAAUCAUGCACCUCGUCUAUGCAUCACUCAUGCUCUUACUGGUAUUUUCUAACACAUACAGCCAUUGAAACAAAGCUCAGCAGAUCCUAUAACAAGAAUCCAUAGUUACUAUGAGAUCACUGUUCCUCAAUACUCUGUUGACAACUUUGAGAUGCACUUCUGCCAAACCAGAAAAACCUGAUAAUCCACAUGCAUGUAACCGGAAGAAAGAAAAUGCAACGGACCAAACCAGGAUUCGAACCCGGGCCCCCGAAUCUCUAGUCAUAUGCUCUACCAAUUGAGCUAACUGGCCACCAGCGAUCGAACCUGACUGCAACAUGUGCAAGACUCUCACAAGUUGAUGCAUAUUAAAGCAACUGGCUCACGACUCAUAACUCGCUAAUUGUUUAAAAGUUCCUAUGUAUUCUUCAUUACAUACUAGACAUAAUAAGGAUGAUUCCUGGGACAAGAUUCUUAUUCUGGACAGUAUACUACUCAGACAAAAGCUGGUUCAUUAUACAAUCAAGCUCUAUACUCUGGUAUUGUGUCUGCAUCAAGUGCACCUCCAGCAUUUCCAGUUUGUGGACUCUGCACAAGUAUCUUGUCAAUUGAAUCUUUAAAAAAAAUUUGAAGUACCUGUUAAGUGAAUCUCACACUUUAUUUUGUGCAUUUGUAAAGCACUUAACAUGUCAUGAACAUUGCUUAUAGGUCCAAGUUUAGGAUUACUCAUGUUCAAAUGCUUGAAAAAGACAUUAAGGUGGAUCAAUCUUCAUGUGAUGUCAUAGGUUUUUGCAAAAAUCUUUAUUUAUAAUUUAAUUAAAUCAAACUUUGCGCAUGAUAGAAAUGUAUCUUUCAGGAAAAUUUCAUUCACUGCAUAAAAUAAAAAAAUCUGGUAAGGCCAAUUAAAAUUAAUUGAUAGAUUAUCAUCCCCAACCGCCCCUUAAAAAAAGGGUCCACCAUGAUUUUUUUUUAUUUUCGCAAAAUUUACGAUUUCAAACAAACUUGCUUCCCUGUGACAUAAGUGAAUUGAUUAAAGUCACAGAAUAUUGGUUUUAUAUCUUCUACCAAGGAUUUUUUGAAUGUUAACUUUAUAAACAUGUUGUGUGAUGCCUUUUGUCAUUAAUUUUGUUUUCUCUGGAAAUAAAAAUUGAAAAAUAAAAUCCUCCCACCCGCCCCAUAUUUUUUUGUGACCCCGGAUGAUAAUCUGCUAAUUAAGUUGAAUUGGCCUAAACUACUUAUACUGAAAAAGUUUAUAUUGUCCAUAGAUAAUCAAUUAUUUACAAUAAAAAAAAUGUUGUCAAGGGCAAUAACUCCUAUGCUGGUAUUUCUUCUACUGCAUGUCUGUUAUACAAUGAUUUCCCUAAUAUCCUCAUUUAAUUUAUCUAUGAAUUAGCAGUUUGUUUUAACAAUUUUUUAUCUAUUCUUAUUAUUCCGUGUAACGAAAAUGUGUGAUUUUCUGAUGUUAACAUAUACUUCUGUUUUGUAUGCCUUCAGACAUCUUUAAAAAGUGGCAACAUACACAUUUUCUUUGGUUAUUAAUUAAAAACUAAAUUGAGUGGAAAUUAAUAGUUUUUCCACUCUCAACCAUUAAUAUUGAUAAAUCACUUGAGGAUGGAAAACUGUUAUUUUUUUAUUUUUACCUUUCCGCAAAAAGUGUUGUUACUUUUCUACAAAUAAAUAUACAGCUAUUAUUGUACCCAAGCAUUACAUUUCCGCAAUUUACCUAGCUGUGGCAAUAAGUUCAACUCGUUUUAUUAGAAGAUCUUAUGUGUCUGCAGAAUCUAAGACUAAGUUUCAACCACAAAUUGCAUCAACUCCAAAUAUAGAAAUGAUUGAUUUUAUCUUGCUUAACAUCUCGCUCGAGAACUUUUCACUCAAUCAUAUGGAGAAGUCACCAAGACCGGUGAAGGGCUUCAAAUUUAAGCCUAUGCUCGGCGCUUAGGGCCAUUGAGCAGUGAGGGUUCUUUAGCGUGCCACACCUACUGUAACACGGAACUUCCGUUUUUAAGGUCAUCUCCGAGGACCCGUGACAAUCACACCUGAUGCCGAGCAUUUGGCGAUGGAACUGUCACUACCUGUUCCAACGACUAAGAUCUGUUGCAGCCGGGAUUUGAAUCCCAGCCUUCUGCAUGUGGGGCAAACGCUCUAACUUCUCGGCCACCGCGGCGGUGCUCAGAUAUAGGAAGGAAAGCACACUACAAAUGGGCCAGAGUCAUCUCAUGUCCAUUUCCAUUCUAUUCCUCACACUUCAUGGUAUGCACCAAUAAAAAUAUGUUUUGAAGGAUUUAAAUUUUGGGGUAAUGUUUUUCCAUUGAAUUUUUAAUUCGAAAAUGUUGAGGUAAAUAUGGAGUUUUAGCAAUAUCAUUUGAAACAUUGACAAAUUAUAGGUUGUUUUUUUUUUUUGGGGGG